RNAcentral lists this transfer RNA (76 nucleotides) under Hyphomicrobium sp. RNAcentral describes it as "tRNA-Lys". It matches the Rfam family "tRNA". From Rfam's summary of the family: Transfer RNA (tRNA) molecules are approximately 80 nucleotides in length. Their secondary structure includes four short double-helical elements and three loops (D, anti-codon, and T loops). RNAcentral also lists the same sequence under 1 other name. The record is from RNAcentral. Lineage: Bacteria; Pseudomonadati; Pseudomonadota; Alphaproteobacteria; Hyphomicrobiales; Hyphomicrobiaceae.
GGGCGAGUAGCUCAGUUGGUAGAGCAGCUGACUCUUAAUCAGCGGGUCCACGGUUCGAGCCCGUGCUCGCCCACCA